Molecule: non-coding RNA, 54 nt
Organism: Salmo salar (Atlantic salmon)
Lineage: Eukaryota; Metazoa; Chordata; Actinopteri; Salmoniformes; Salmonidae
Source: Rfam
UGCAUUCACUACUGUAAGUCGCUCUGGAUAAGAGCGUCUGCUAAAUGACAAUCU